AACGAACGCUGGCGGCAGGCUUAACACAUGCAAGUCGAACGCCCCGCAAGGGGAGUGGCAGACGGGUGAGUAACGCGUGGGAACAUACCCUUUUCUACGGAAUAGCUCUGGGAAACUGGAAUUAAUACCGUAUACGCCCUACGGGGGAAAGAUUUAUCGGGGAAGGAUUGGCCCGCGUUGGAUUAGCUAGUUGGUGGGGUAAAGGCCUACCAAGGCGACGAUCCAUAGCUGGUCUGAGAGGAUGAUCAGCCACAUUGGGACUGAGACACGGCCCAAACUCCUACGGGAGGCAGCAGUGGGGAAUAUUGGACAAUGGGCGCAAGCCUGAUCCAGCCAUGCCGCGUGAGUGAUGAAGGCCUUAGGGUUGUAAAGCUCUUUCACCGAUGAAGAUAAUGACGGUAGUCGGAGAAGAAGCCCCGGCUAACUACGUG
Molecule: ribosomal RNA, 431 nt
Filed under: uncultured bacterium
Lineage: Bacteria
Description: partial 16S ribosomal RNA
Rfam family: Bacterial small subunit ribosomal RNA
Source: RNAcentral